RNAcentral lists this small RNA (674 nucleotides) under Vigna angularis var. angularis. Its description in RNAcentral is "Non-protein coding transcript". The record is from RNAcentral. Lineage: Eukaryota; Viridiplantae; Streptophyta; Magnoliopsida; Fabales; Fabaceae.
UGGACCGUGAAACAUUUAUGAAAGAGCUUGAGAAUUUCUACAGAUAGCGGUCCUUGGAAUUUAAGCCUCCUAAGUUUUACGAAGAGCCUCUAAAUUACCUUAAGUAUGUAUAAUAUCCCCUGUGAUGCAAGGGUGUAACCCCUUUCUCAUAAGCAUUCUAAAGGCUAGUUUAAGUUGGCCUGACCUCCUUGAUAUUUGAAUGUGUUAUUACAUUGUUCUGAUAGUGGAUCCCUUACUUUUCAACUGGCUGCAGGUUGUGGAGAGCUGUUAUCAGACUGGGUUCCUAUGAUGUGUUGCUCUAUCAGGUAUUUCAAGCAAUUGGUGCUGUCAGAGGAUUUCUAAGACCAUAUUCUCUUAUCGCAAUUAUAUUUAUUUACAUAUCCCUGUAUAGAAGGGUCUCCAACAACAUUUAAAUCACAUUCUGGUAGAUUGGGUCACCUGUGCAUCAAUCUUGUUUUCAUUCUUCUUAUCCUAACAUAAUGUAAAAUACCUAUAAUGUUAUGAAUUUUAUUAAAUUCUUCUUAAAGUUCUUGGUUUUGAUCUUCUUAAUUGUUUAAUAGAGUCUGUCAACUUUAUGUAUGACCAUCCAAUUGCAUUUGAUUUUGUCAGUAUAUGGCAUCUAAUGGUCCUAAUCCACCUCCUCCACUCUAGGCACAAUCUAAUAAGGAGAAGGG